GGAAGGACGACCUUCCCAUAAAUACAUAAAGUUCAGGGAAAACUACAGUGAAAACAGAAUUGUCAGGAUCAACUGUGUGACUGAUAAGCCAAAUGGAGAUAGGAAAUGUCUGAGGCCAGGAGCUCUGCUCUCACGUUUCUCCUUUUUAGCACUGGCAGGGCCAUGGGCUAAUAUAUGUGCUGGCAAGUCUUCCAACGAGAUCCGGACGUGUGACCGCCAUGGCUGUGGACAGUACUCUGCUCAAAGAAGUCAGAGGCCUCACCAGGGUGUGGACGUCUUGUGCUCUGCUGGAUCUACUGUGUAUGCACCAUUCACUGGAAUGAUUGUGGGCCAGGAGAAACCUUAUCAAAACAAAAAUGCUAUCAAUAAUGGUGUUCGAAUAUCUGGAAGAGCUUUAAAAAAUGUAACCCACCAUCAGAUGAAACAUGAGGACAGCUACUCAUUUUUAGGAGUCUUAGAGUGUCACUAUUAUUGGCUACAAGAAUGUUCAAUGAAGGAUCAUCCACUGGUGUAUCUUCAAUUUUGAUUGAUGAUAAUGAUUUUGAGUUGAUAAAAACAACUCACAUCCCUUUAGAAGAUAAACAGGCCAGCAGAAAUACUUGCUAGAAGAGUGCCAUGACCCAGUUUAUAAGAGAGAGGCUGCUAUUCCUCUAUCCUCCUCCAUAGGAAAAUUUCCAUCAGCCAGCUUUACCAACUACCAUAAUUUAAUGCCUAUCAUAUAUCAGGCACUAUUCUGACUCUGGAUUUAUAAUGGUAAACAAAAUAGAAUCUCUGCCUUCAAUGAGUUUAUGUUUGGUAUAAGGAGAAGAGAA
Molecule: small RNA, 812 nt
Filed under: Pongo abelii (Sumatran orangutan)
Lineage: Eukaryota; Metazoa; Chordata; Mammalia; Primates; Hominidae
Description: processed transcript
Source: RNAcentral